This is a long non-coding RNA of Macaca mulatta (Rhesus monkey), 1636 nucleotides long. The record is from Ensembl. Lineage: Eukaryota; Metazoa; Chordata; Mammalia; Primates; Cercopithecidae.
CAGGGACCAAAGGCAAUAUGAUAUAAAGUGAGUCUUGGUGAACAGAUGCUAAAUUAGUGACAGAAAUAUAAUAGGAAAGGGUAUUUGUUAACAGAAAAAUAUAUUUAAAGGGCACAGACAUGGAUAAGGGCUAGGAGCGAGGCGGAUGGAACAAACAAGGACACUAUGGCUGGAACAAGAGUUAGUUGCAAGAAGCAGAGGCUCAGAGAAGUGAAGCAGCAAUUCCUGUUCAUUUCCUGGCGGACCACUCCUGGCAGCUGCAAACAAGAUGUUUUCUAUGGAUGCUCUUUAUCUUUGGAAUCCUCUUCCUUCCUGGACUGGCAACUGCAGAAUCGAAAUCUCUUGGCCUUCCACAAAGCCUUUUCCAAGGUUUGUCUUUUUAAUUGAGCUUCCACUUAAGCAUACUUAAGACUAUUUGUUUACUACAGAAAACACCAUGAAACUUGGCCAUAAAAUGGUGCGGGAUCCUCUUUUUUUCUGAUUUUUUGAAGAUCCAACUCAAGGCUCACUUUAGUAACCACUCCUUCUUCUUGUGCUUUUCUAUUAAGGAUUUUUUUUUAGACCGUAGAAAAGGUCUUUACAAUGAUUUGCUUAAGACUUAGUUUUGAAUCCCCGAGGAGUUUAGCCCUUUCUAAGAGGAAUGCACAGACGUAAAGUCUGUGGAAGGCAAAACAAAGUCCAGCGGUCAUGCUAAGCCAAACCUAGGCAUCAGUGUAAAGUUCCAACUAAUUCCAUAGGGGAAAAAAUGUUUUUAAGCAUCCAGGACAAAUGAGAAGCCAUAAAUUAAUUUUAAAAUAUUUUUCAUUUUAAUGGCUUUAAAAGCUUAGGAAAGUUAGCUGUUUUUUCUAAGCUUGUCUUGCACAGAAAAAAAAAAAUUGAAAUACUGUUUAUAUGUCCAUAUUUGAGAACCAAGCUGAGCUAAGAUCGUUAAACUUUUAGGAAAAAAAAAAGAUCAUAUAAACACAAACUUUCCAAAAGCAACAUCUUUAGUAAUGAACGAAGUUUAUUUCCACUACCGAAAUUCAUUUUAUUGUGUGUCCCAUUGUCCUAGUAAAAGUUUAGUGAGGAAAUCAACGUGAAUGUUAAAAUAGGGAUAUGACAUUUUGUGAUCUAGCUGGCUCUUAUUAACUCUUGAUUUGCACAUUUCCACAGCGUUCUGUUAGCCAAUAUUGGCCACUGCCUGCAAAACCAUUCAUCCCUUUUUCUAAAACCCGUUUAUAGCCAGGACGCAGCUUCACACUCACACCAGUUUGUCAUCAUCCUGCUAUUUCCCAGCACCUAUCAAAACCCUGCAAUGGGCUUGUAAAGCACGAAGGUCACUUGUGGUGAUCCAGGAAGGCAGGAAGGCCCCAUGAUGCUUUCAGAUUAGAGUAUCCUCUGCACCUUGGCUUCUGUACUCCUGCUUCCUGCCUGCCUGCCCUUGAAGGCGUCCUGGUGGGACCAUGGACUGGAGGAUGCCGUUUCCACAACUCACACGCUAUGAAGACUCCAGUUCUUGGAUUUUUGAUGACCUCUGGGUCCCUCACUUGCCGACUCCCCACCUCCACCCCGCUAGCCCUGUGUUUGAAAUGACAAGCUGCUGUUUAUUUAUAGCUCCCUUUCCCACUUUUAAAAGAAACCAGUGGUUAAAGAUGUG